RNAcentral lists this ribosomal RNA (107 nucleotides) under Calosoma marginale. RNAcentral describes it as "partial 16S ribosomal RNA". Lineage: Eukaryota; Metazoa; Arthropoda; Insecta; Coleoptera; Carabidae. The record is from RNAcentral.
GGUGUAAGCCAGGUCGGUUUCUAUCUUUAAUAAAAUAAAAUAUUUUAGUACGAAAGGACCAAGUAUUUAAUAUAUUUAUAUUUUUAUAUUGAAUAGUAUUAAAUUUU